GCCAGGCACAGUGGCACAUGUCUAUAGUUCUAGCUACUCAGGAGGCUGAGACAAGAGGAUCACUUGAACCCAGGAGUUCUGUGCUAUAGCGUGCUAAAGCUGAUCAGGUGCCCCCACUAAGUAUGGCAUAUCAAUAUAGUGACCACUCAAAGCAGUGGGGAACCACCCAAGUUGCCCAAGGAGGGGUGAUCCAGCCCAGAUUAGAAACAGAGCAGGUCAAAACUCUCAUAUGCCUGUGAAUAUAGCCACUGCACUCCACCCUGGGCAACAGAUCAGGACCCUGCCUCU
Molecule: unclassified non-coding RNA, 288 nt
Organism: Cercocebus atys (sooty mangabey)
Lineage: Eukaryota; Metazoa; Chordata; Mammalia; Primates; Cercopithecidae
Rfam family: Metazoan signal recognition particle RNA
About the family: The signal recognition particle (SRP) is a universally conserved ribonucleoprotein. It is involved in the co-translational targeting of proteins to membranes. The eukaryotic SRP consists of a 300-nucleotide 7S RNA and six proteins: SRPs 72, 68, 54, 19, 14, and 9.
Source: Ensembl